GUGGGGAAUCUUGCACAAUGGGGGAAACCCUGAUGCAGCGACGCCGCGUGAGCGAUGAAGCCCUUCGGGGUGUAAAGCUCUUUCGGCAGGGAAGAUUAUGACGGUACCUGCAGAAGCAGCUGCGGCUAACUACGUGCCAGCAGCCGCGGUAAUACGUAGGCAGCAAGCGUUGUUCGGAGUUACUGGGCGUAAAGGGUGUGUAGGCGGUUGGAUAAGUGUGGUGUGAAAUCUCCCGGCUUAACUGGGAGGGUGCGCUACAAACUGUCUGACUAGAGUGUGGGAUGGGAGAGUGGAAUUCCUGGUGUAGCGGUGAAAUGCGUAGAUAUCAGGAGGAACACCGGUGGUGUAGACGGCUCUCUGGACCAUAACUGACGCUGAGACACGAAAGCGUGGGUAGCAAACAGGAUUAGAUACCCUAGUAGUCC
RNAcentral lists this ribosomal RNA (425 nucleotides) under uncultured bacterium. RNAcentral describes it as "bacterial SSU rRNA". It matches the Rfam family "Bacterial small subunit ribosomal RNA", at positions 354 to 796 of the family's 1533-position model. The record is from RNAcentral.